GUGCUCACUUCGGCAGCACAUAUACUAAAAUUGGAACGAUACAGAGAAGAUUAGCAUGGCCCCUGUGCAAAGAAUGACACGCAAAUUCUUGAAGAGUUCCAUAUUUUU
Molecule: small nuclear RNA, 108 nt
Filed under: Notamacropus eugenii (tammar wallaby)
Lineage: Eukaryota; Metazoa; Chordata; Mammalia; Diprotodontia; Macropodidae
Source: RNAcentral